This 580-nucleotide ribosomal RNA is filed under the name Acaphylla theae. Its description in RNAcentral is "eukaryotic LSU rRNA". Lineage: Eukaryota; Metazoa; Arthropoda; Arachnida; Trombidiformes; Eriophyidae. The record is from RNAcentral.
AAAUAGAACUUUGCAGAGAGAGUUAACAGGGCGUGAAACCGUUAAUUGGCAAACGAAUCGGAGCCACGAAGUCGUUUCGCUGAUUAGUUGGGCCAAGUUCAGUCCAAGAUCGCAAGAUUUUGGGUGUAUUCUUGUAGUCCAACCUAACAUUGUAAACGUACACUGCAACCAGUUAGACGAUUGGCGAUGGGCCCAGCUGGUUGGGGAGCAAUCCCCGGCUAGCGCAGCUAUUGUCCGUUUGAGCCAGCAGCAGCUUGGUGCGCCUCGGCGUAUUCGAGUUGUUGGGCGCAGGCGGGAGAACUAUCGCCAAACACUGACUGGCAAAAUAAAAAUCACUCGCAGAGUGUUUGAAUAGAACGCGGCCGUCCACAUGGGUGUCCACAUGCUUGACCGUUUGGCUUAAGCUCAGCAUUUUUAAAUUCAAACUUGCUUGCUACCAGUGGGGCAACUCCUGGUGCUUGUAUUGCUUUGUCUAAUUGGGUGUUGACUUGGUUAGGCGUCGUUCGAGCAUGCAACGAUCGGGCGCCUAUGUGAGGUGGUUCGCAAUCAUUGGCAGUGAGUAGGUCGGCUUUCCGAACGA